Molecule: non-coding RNA, 415 nt
Organism: Monodelphis domestica (gray short-tailed opossum)
Lineage: Eukaryota; Metazoa; Chordata; Mammalia; Didelphimorphia; Didelphidae
Source: RefSeq, a predicted model, not a curated record
GGACCUGCACCAUUGUGACUUGGUGAGCUUGUGUCAUCCAUGGGCAGCCCUUUGUCUCCCUGUUUUAGAGCAAGCACAAGUAUUCUUUGUUUCUGGUGGUUUACUGUGUGGUGAUGAAGGCCUUUUAACUCUUGCUGAGCUGGAACUUAGCAUGUCAUGAGUGUUGGAAAAAGAUAGACCAGGUGAUGAUCUUUUGAACUUUGAAAGCUGAGAAAACCCCAGCAAAUGAAGUCCAUAGCAGCGCCUGCCAGUAGCUGAAGCAUCCAAAUCAACUGAGGAACCAGGAAGCCUUGAUCUGCCCAUCAGGGAAUCAAGCCACCAGUCAAGACAGCAUUGCCUGCAAGCAAAGAAAUGGGUCAUCCAUGAGCUAUGCCAUACUUAGAAAUAAACUUGAAGAGAGAAAUGUUUGAAGUAA